GACGAACGCUGGCGGCGUGCUUAACACAUGCAAGUCGAACGGAAAGGCCCUGCUUUUGUGGGGUGCUCGAGUGGCGAACGGGUGAGUAACACGUGAGUAACCUGCCCUUGACUUUGGGAUAACUUCAGGAAACUGGGGCUAAUACCGGAUAGGAGCUCCUGCUGCAUGGUGGGGGUUGGAAAGUUUCGGCGGUUGGGGAUGGACUCGCGGCUUAUCAGCUUGUUGGUGGGGUAGUGGCUUACCAAGGCUUUGACGGGUAGCCGGCCUGAGAGGGUGACCGGGCACAUUGGGCCUGAGAUACGGCCCAGACUCCUACGGGCGGCAGCAGUGGGGAAUAUUGCACAAUGGGCGGAAGCCUGAUGCAGCAACGCCGCGUGCGGGAUGACGGCCUUCGGGUUGUAAACCGCUUUCGCCUGUGACGAAGCGUGAGUGACGGUAAUGGGUAAAGAAGCACCGGCUAACUACGUG
This 468-nucleotide ribosomal RNA is filed under the name uncultured bacterium. Its description in RNAcentral is "partial 16S ribosomal RNA". It matches the Rfam family "Bacterial small subunit ribosomal RNA", at positions 28 to 507 of the family's 1533-position model. The record is from RNAcentral.